UAUCAACAAGAUAAAUCACAGCUUUGAAGAAACUUCUAAUUUCAAUUUUUAAACCCCAGAGGAUAAACUCUGUCAUGAUGAAAUAUUAUAAAUAUAAAUACCCUUUCGUUUCAUUGUGCAAUUCAACAUGAUUGAACAUACUUCAGUAUAUCUCUAAUGCAGUAUACCAUGUUCAAGACCCAAAAAACUAGAUUGUUAGAAUGACUGACUAGUACACUUCAUUUUGUUUUGCCACAACGCAUUCACAAUUUAAGAGAUCAACUAUAUCCUAGUUAAAUUCCAAUAGGUAUUAGUAAGUGAAAAAAAAAUAAACUAAGGUGUUAUCAUGUACAAUCAUAUGCUAUUAAAACACGUCUUACUUAUUGAAAGUCAAG
This 374-nucleotide long non-coding RNA is filed under the name Panax ginseng (ginseng). RNAcentral's name for it is "long non-coding RNA (PGIN_LNC000406)". The record is from RNAcentral. Lineage: Eukaryota; Viridiplantae; Streptophyta; Magnoliopsida; Apiales; Araliaceae.